GACGAACGCUGGCGGCGUGCUUAACACAUGCAAGUCGAACGAAGAGCGAUGGAAGCUUGCUUCUCUCAAUCUUAGUGGCGAACGGGUGAGUAACGCGUAAUCAACCUGCCCUUCAGAGGGGGACAACAGUUGGAAACGACUGCUAAUACCGCAUACGAUCUAAUCUCGGCAUCGAGGAUAGAUGAAAGGUGGCCUCUACAUGUAAGCUAUCACUGAAGGAGGGGAUUGCGUCUGAUUAGCUAGUUGGAGGGGUACCGGCCCACCAAGGCGAUGAUCAGUAGCCGGUCUGAGAGGAUGAACGGCCACGUUGGGACUGAGACACGGCCCAGACUCCUACGGGAGGCAGCAGUGGGGAAUCUUCCGCAAUGGACGAAAGUCUGACGGAGCAACGCCGCGUGAGUGAUGACGGCCUUCGGGUUGUAAAGCUCUGUUAAUCGGGACGAAAGGCCUUCUUGCGAACAGUUAGAAGGAUUGACGGUACCGGAAUAGAAAGCCACGGCUAACUACGUG
This 510-nucleotide ribosomal RNA is filed under the name uncultured bacterium. RNAcentral's name for it is "partial 16S ribosomal RNA". It matches the Rfam family "Bacterial small subunit ribosomal RNA", at positions 28 to 507 of the family's 1533-position model. The record is from RNAcentral.